GUGGGGAAUAUUGGGCAAUGGGCGAAAGCCUGACCCAGCAACGCCGCGUGAAGGAAGAAGGCUUUCGGGUUGUAAACUUCUUUUAUCAGGGACGAAACAAAUGACGGUACCUGAUGAAUAAGCCACGGCUAACUACGUGCCAGCAGCCGCGGUAAUACGUAGGUGGCAAGCGUUAUCCGGAUUUACUGGGUGUAAAGGGCGUGUAGGCGGGACUGCAAGUCAGAUGUGAAAACUAUGGGCUCAACCCAUAGCCUGCAUUUGAAACUGUGGUUCUUGAGUGAUGGAGAGGCAGGCGGAAUUCCGUGUGUAGCGGUGAAAUGCUUAGAUAUACGGAGGAACACCAGUGGCGAAGGCGGCCUGCUGGACAUUAACUGACGCUGAGGCGCGAAAGCGUGGGGAGCAAACAGGAUUAGAAACCCCAGUAGUCC
RNAcentral lists this ribosomal RNA (428 nucleotides) under uncultured bacterium. RNAcentral describes it as "bacterial SSU rRNA". It matches the Rfam family "Bacterial small subunit ribosomal RNA", at positions 354 to 796 of the family's 1533-position model. The record is from RNAcentral.